Molecule: long non-coding RNA, 293 nt
Filed under: Glycine max (soybean)
Lineage: Eukaryota; Viridiplantae; Streptophyta; Magnoliopsida; Fabales; Fabaceae
Description: long non-coding RNA (GMAX_LNC001128)
Source: RNAcentral
AACCCUCCCUCCCCGCCCCUAUUCUCCACAAACUCAACUUGCUCGACGCCACCGAUGCCCCCCAAUCCUGGGAUGAGAUUAGCAAAACACUCCAAGACCUCAAACCCCCCUCCACCUCACCCCAACAACAACCUCAACCUCCACAAAAGACCAAGUCCUUCCACACGGUGGAAGAGCUAGACGCCAAGCUCAACCCCAAGCCCGAGCCCAAGCCCAAGCCCAAUCCAGAAUUGAAAAAGCCCGCUGAUCAGAUAAUUAACAGUAGCAUAGUUACCGAGCCAGUCCGAGGGAAC